CAACCACAGGGACAACCACCGUACCACAACCCUCAACCACUGUUGAGUCGGCCGAGAUGGAGGACAGGCCACUGCGUCCACCUGGUCACCCAGCAGAAAAAAAUGUGAAGGGAGUUUUGCCAAGAAGACCUACAGUUUCACCAAACUCCACCAGAACUACCCUGGUCCCGUCUGGACUGCAGACUGGAGACACUCCACCUCCAGCUUCUGCUGAUAAAACCAAAGGGCGGGGAAUUGUUACCGCGGCAACGACAAGCUCACCAACCUCGGCGAGGCGUCCAGAAAAUCCCAGCUCCAAGCCAAUCAGAGUCACCGCCUCCUCAGAGCUAUCGCCCACAGUUCUGGAGGAUUCCGUCAAAGAACAUUACAGAACACAAACAGCCACUCCUUUGGGUUUCACAAG
Molecule: long non-coding RNA, 403 nt
Organism: Osmerus eperlanus (European smelt)
Lineage: Eukaryota; Metazoa; Chordata; Actinopteri; Osmeriformes; Osmeridae
Exons: 3
Source: RefSeq, a predicted model, not a curated record